AUAAAGAGAAAAUACACAUUUCCAUUUCUGCCUUCUAUGCACAUAUUAAAAUUCAAUUUAUUCUUUUAAUAAAGAUCAUAUUAAAGUUAUGAUCUUUAUUGUUGUGCUUGAAAAUUAACCUUCAAAAUAGUUUUCAUAGCUAAUCAUCAAUAGCUUACAUCAGCGGGUCAUCAUCCAUCAUAAACAAAUUCCUCUGCUGAUGAAUGCCAUUAGAGGUGGUUGAAAUAAAAGCUCUGAAACAAAUCUUGUAAAUGGACCUUAAGUCGAUAAUUAGUAACAAGUGAAACAUAUCCAAGUUAUUUACUUGUGUAACGUUCUUGCAUUUCAGUGCUAAACAUAGGAAUCUGCUUACGACAAUAGCCAGAAAGAGAGAAAAAUUGAGAAAAAGUGUAAUAACACUGUACUAGCUAACAAAAUCAGUCAAGAGUUGCAUUUAAUCAUCACAGACCAGUUAUAUUAAAAAAAUUCAUGUUUUUCAUAGGUAUCUGAGCUUUCAUUAACCACCUGACAUAUGAACAUCUUGGUCCUCUGCACGCCCUCUGUUUAAAGUGUAUGUUCUCAGACAGCAGGACCGUUCAUCAAGUAAAAGAUGUUUGUUUUGCAUUCAGUAUUUUUUUCCACAGGUGAAGUUUGCCACAACUGUUGGAACAGCUGAUAACUGCACAGGUCCUUCCCAGUUUCCUAGACAUUGUUGUAAAAAGUAAUGUUACAUUGAAAGUUAAGGGAAAAAUAGAAAAUUGUCCAUUCUUAGGGCAGCAUUGUAUUCAAACAUAUUGUGGAGACGCCGCCUCAGUAAUGGCAACUUGUUUACUUCCGGUCCUUCCCCUGAUUUGUGUAUAGUAUGAACUUGUUGGCUAGGUUAUUUGUGAGAUAUUUGAAAAAAACAUUCUUGAAUGAAGUGUUCAUUCACUGUCAGUUCCUGCGCCAUGUGCCAACUGUGUGCAUCAGAAAAUCCCCUGCAAUCUUUGUUUUGGCUAGUGUGAGGCGGCAAGUGAUUAUCCGGAGUGCUUUCGGAAGUUAAUGUUCAUGGUCUGCACAGCGGGAUUCUCGGAGUGAUGACAGAGGAAGUGCCUCAGGGCGAGCGUCUCUUCGCUGCCAUCUCACUUUCACUGUUUGUGACAACGCGUUUACCCCAACAGAUGGCUCCAAUGCUCACACAGAGACAGUGCGAGGCUAUGAAGAACUGCGUGGGCUGAUACAACACAACGAUGUGCAAAAAAAUCCAAAACCAACUAGUGUGAAUUAAUGUAAAAUUGACUAAUGGGAUCUCAACAGUCAGCAAUGUGUUGGAAUAACUUGGUCAAAGGGCUCCGUCAUGCUUACUCCUAAAUUAAAGCAAAUUAAAAAACUGGAUCAUCCAUCUCUGGUUUAUUAUCUCAUCCGUUUAUUUCCUCUAACUUUAUUUUAUUCAUUUAUUUUUUUAAAUUCAGCAAAUGGUUAAAAGUUAGAGAUAGAACAGCAAAAAACUUAAACAGACUGCAGGACAUCUACAAAACAGGAAGUUCAAGGAAUGGACCCCAGUUCAUAUUCAUCUGUGGCCUAAUAUACACUAAAGCAGCAAUUGUGCAGUAGAUCAUGAAGCACAGGAAGAGUGAGUGUGGGGAAUAUGACACUUUGGUCCCAAACUGCAGCUCAAUCUAUCAAGUGAUGCCUAAACUGUUUUCUUUGCAUAUCAAAGAAGAAGAGUACAGCUUCGCCUUCAGGCCUCGGAAAUGACACACAGCACGAUGUCAGAAUAUGACUUACUGAGUAGUUCAGCGGGAUGGAAUAGUGUGUGUCGAACCCAACAAUCAAACUGCAUCCAGAAUACCCCAAAAAGACUAACUUCUGGUCAUGUUGGACCACUGUUAUUUUUUCUUAAAGACUGAAUAUAUACUGUAACAAUUGCAUGCCACCACACUGACACUACUUCUGACAUGUGCAGUAAAGUUUGAGGUUUGUAAAACUUGUUUAAAGGAAUAGUUUAAACAUCCGGGGAGAUACGCUUAUUCACUUUAUUGCCAAGAGUUAGAUGAGAGAAAGAAUGAAAAUUGACACCACUCAUCUCUAUGGUAAAUAUGUGGCUACUGCCAGCAGCCGGUUAGCUCAGCACAAAGACUGGAAACAGCUAGCCUAGCUCUGUUCGAAGGUAACAAAACGGCAACAGCGGCAAGAUGUAGAAGUCUGGCUGCCACUCUCAAAGAAUGUGCACAGUUCUUUGUCGCUGUGUUCAGAGUUUAUGAUGGUUCAACUUUUCUGCUUGCUGCCACAGCUCGCCAGGUCUCCAUGGCAACCACAGAAACCACAGGGAGGGAACUGAUACAGGAGCUGAGAAUCUGAUUUCCCUAAAUAAUAUACCUCUUCAACAACAAAAAGCAAACAAAUUAUUGAAGGGAAACGGAAUUGAGAUAUUGUAAAACUUGCUAGAUUAAUUGUGUCAUAUUGCUUAUUGUUUCCUCUAUUUUAAGCUACAAACAACUCUACCUAUGAUGUGAUUACAGUAGGUGGGGAGCAGCAGCCUGUAGUGUAUGUGGCAACAGAGUUGUGCCCUGCUGCCGCCAAGUCAAAAUACAUAAUACUGAAAAUGUUAAACAAUUUUGUUUUACAGUAAUUUUUAAUAUACUGAGCUUCUUAAGUGAAUUCACUUUUUAACUUCUGGAUUUAUCUAUGGAUUUUGGAAUAAAUAAUAAUAAUAAAAACUAUAAUAUAGUCUUUUACUGCUGAUUACAAUAACAAAGCUCUCUGAAUAUUAGAAUUUGAUUCUAGUGGAAGUCUUCUCCAUAUCAACGACUACUGAAGCUUGAACUGAUUGUAGAGAUGUGAAUUUUCAGUCACAAAGUUGAAUUAUUUAAUACAGAUAGCCAUAACAUAACCCCAUAGUGUUGUUGGGUUAUCCUAGAGACUCCAGGAGAAC
Long non-coding RNA from Dicentrarchus labrax (European seabass), 2893 nucleotides. NCBI's taxonomy places the organism in Eukaryota, Metazoa, Chordata, Actinopteri, Moronidae. The record is from Ensembl.